Leopardus geoffroyi (Geoffroy's cat) is the source of this 434-nucleotide long non-coding RNA. RefSeq lists it as uncharacterized. Lineage: Eukaryota; Metazoa; Chordata; Mammalia; Carnivora; Felidae. The record is from RefSeq and is a predicted model, not a curated record. The transcript has 3 exons.
GAAGCUCUUCAAAGGCAGGAAUUUCUGUUCGUUUUGUUCACUAACUUAUCCCAAGCACCUACCACAACCUAGGACUAUAAAGACUGAAUGAGAAGUACUGGAUAACAGACUGCCUGAGAGUCAAAGGAGGAAAUGGAGCUAACAAUAUACACUUUUCUAAAUAUCACCUUCACUCACUUUGGAGAAAAAGAAAAGAUUUGUCAUUCCUCAAACCUAGGAACCCAACUGAAUUGUGGUGAUAAUCUUCUCUACCUUAAGACACACAGUAGCAGAACUGGAAUAAAACCAGCUUCAUUAUGGACUAAAGUCCAGAUUUAUUCCAAUAUCUGAGGCUGACUCGGAAAUGGGCCUUAAGAAUCCAAGUAAGGAAAGUUCUGGAUGUGUAUUUGACUGAUAUAUGCAGCAUAAGGUAAAUAAAAGAUGUAAGAGUUGGU